This 302-nucleotide ribosomal RNA is filed under the name uncultured bacterium. RNAcentral's name for it is "partial 16S ribosomal RNA". It matches the Rfam family "Bacterial small subunit ribosomal RNA", at positions 355 to 649 of the family's 1533-position model. The record is from RNAcentral.
UAGGGAAUCUUCCACAAUGGACGCAAGUCUGAUGGAGCAACGCCGCGUGAGUGAAGAAGGCUUUCGGGUCGUAAAACUCUGUUAUUGAAGAAGAACGUGUGUGACAGUAACUGGUCAUGCAGUGACGGUAUUCAAUCAGAAAGUCACGGCUAACUACGUGCCAGCAGCCGCGGUAAUACGUAGGUGGCAAGCGUUGUCCGGAUUUAUUGGGCGUAAAGCGAGUGCAGGCGGUCUUUUAAGUCUGAUGUGAAAGCCUUCGGCUUAACCGAAGAAGGGCAUCGGAAACUGGGAGACUUGAGUGC